This 2758-nucleotide ribosomal RNA is filed under the name Klebsiella pneumoniae. RNAcentral's name for it is "bacterial LSU rRNA". It matches the Rfam family "Bacterial large subunit ribosomal RNA". Lineage: Bacteria; Pseudomonadati; Pseudomonadota; Gammaproteobacteria; Enterobacterales; Enterobacteriaceae. The record is from RNAcentral.
CACUAUCGUUAACUGAAUACAUAGGUUAACGAGGCGAACCGGGGGAACUGAAACAUCUAAGUACCCCGAGGAAAAGAAAUCAACCGAGAUUCCCCCAGUAGCGGCGAGCGAACGGGGAGCAGCCCAGAGUCUGAAUCAGCUUGUGUGUUAGUGGAACGGUCUGGAAAGUCCGACGGUACAGGGUGAUAGUCCCGUACACCAAAAUGCACAGGUUGUGAACUCGAAGAGUAGGGCGGGACACGUGGUAUCCUGUCUGAAUAUGGGGGGACCAUCCUCCAAGGCUAAAUACUCCUGACUGACCGAUAGUGAACCAGUACCGUGAGGGAAAGGCGAAAAGAACCCCGGCGAGGGGAGUGAAAAAGAACCUGAAACCGUGUACGUACAAGCAGUGGGAGCACCUUCGGGUGUGACUGCGUACCUUUUGUAUAAUGGGUCAGCGACUUAUAUUCUGUAGCAAGGUUAACCGUAUAGGGGAGCCGCAGGGAAACCGAGUCUUAACUGGGCGUUAAGUUGCAGGGUAUAGACCCGAAACCCGGUGAUCUAGCCAUGGGCAGGUUGAAGGUUGGGUAACACUAACUGGAGGACCGAACCGACUAAUGUUGAAAAAUUAGCGGAUGACUUGUGGCUGGGGGUGAAAGGCCAAUCAAACCGGGAGAUAGCUGGUUCUCCCCGAAAGCUAUUUAGGUAGCGCCUCGUGAACUCAUCUUCGGGGGUAGAGCACUGUUUCGGCUAGGGGGUCAUCCCGACUUACCAACCCGAUGCAAACUACGAAUACCGAAGAAUGUUAUCACGGGAGACACACGGCGGGUGCUAACGUCCGUCGUGAAGAGGGAAACAACCCAGACCGCCAGCUAAGGUCCCAAAGUCAUGGUUAAGUGGGAAACGAUGUGGGAAGGCACAGACAGCCAGGAUGUUGGCUUAGAAGCAGCCAUCAUUUAAAGAAAGCGUAAUAGCUCACUGGUCGAGUCGGCCUGCGCGGAAGAUGUAACGGGGCUAAACCAUGCACCGAAGCUGCGGCAGCGACACUAUGUGUUGUUGGGUAGGGGAGCGUUCUGUAAGCCUGCGAAGGUGUGCUGUGAGGCAUGCUGGAGGUAUCAGAAGUGCGAAUGCUGACAUAAGUAACGAUAAAGCGGGUGAAAAGCCCGCUCGCCGGAAGACCAAGGGUUCCUGUCCAACGUUAAUCGGGGCAGGGUGAGUCGACCCCUAAGGCGAGGCCGAAAGGCGUAGUCGAUGGGAAACAGGUUAAUAUUCCUGUACUUGGUGUUACUGCGAAGGGGGGACGGAGAAGGCUAUGUUAGCCGGGCGACGGUUGUCCCGGUUUAAGCAUGUAGGCUGGUUGUCCAGGCAAAUCCGGAUAAUCAAGGCUGAGGUGUGAUGACGAGGCACUACGGUGCUGAAGUAACAAAUGCCCUGCUUCCAGGAAAAGCCUCUAAGCAUCAGGUAACAUUAAAUCGUACCCCAAACCGACACAGGUGGUCAGGUAGAGAAUACCAAGGCGCUUGAGAGAACUCGGGUGAAGGAACUAGGCAAAAUGGUGCCGUAACUUCGGGAGAAGGCACGCUGGUGUGUAGGUGAAGUCCCUGCGGAUGGAGCUGAGACCAGUCGAAGAUACCAGCUGGCUGCAACUGUUUAUUAAAAACACAGCACUGUGCAAACACGAAAGUGGACGUAUACGGUGUGACGCCUGCCCGGUGCCGGAAGGUUAAUUGAUGGGGUUAUCCGUAAGGAGAAGCUCUUGAUCGAAGCCCCGGUAAACGGCGGCCGUAACUAUAACGGUCCUAAGGUAGCGAAAUUCCUUGUCGGGUAAGUUCCGACCUGCACGAAUGGCGUAAUGAUGGCCAGGCUGUCUCCACCCGAGACUCAGUGAAAUUGAACUCGCUGUGAAGAUGCAGUGUACCCGCGGCAAGACGGAAAGACCCCGUGAACCUUUACUAUAGCUUGACACUGAACAUUGAGCCUUGAUGUGUAGGAUAGGUGGGAGGCUUUGAAGCGUGGACGCCAGUCUGCGUGGAGCCAACCUUGAAAUACCACCCUUUAAUGUUUGAUGUUCUAACGUUGGCCCCUUACCGGGGUUCCCGACAGUGUCUGGUGGGUAGUUUGACUGGGGCGGUCUCCUCCCAAAGCGUAACGGAGGAGCACGAAGGUUAGCUAAUCCUGGUCGGACAUCAGGAGGUUAGUGCAAUGGCAUAAGCUAGCUUGACUGCGAGCGUGACGGCGCGAGCAGGUGCGAAAGCAGGUCAUAGUGAUCCGGUGGUUCUGAAUGGAAGGGCCAUCGCUCAACGGAUAAAAGGUACUCCGGGGAUAACAGGCUGAUACCGCCCAAGAGUUCAUAUCGACGGCGGUGUUUGGCACCUCGAUGUCGGCUCAUCACAUCCUGGGGCUGAAGUAGGUCCCAAGGGUAUGGCUGUUCGCCAUUUAAAGUGGUACGCGAGCUGGGUUUAGAACGUCGUGAGACAGUUCGGUCCCUAUCUGCCGUGGGCGCUGGAGAAUUGAGGGGGGCUGCUCCUAGUACGAGAGGACCGGAGUGGACGCAUCACUGGUGUUCGGGUUGUCAUGCCAAUGGCACUGCCCGGUAGCUAAAUGCGGAAGAGAUAAGUGCUGAAAGCAUCUAAGCACGAAACUUGCCCCGAGAUGAGUUCUCCCUGAGACUUUAAGUCUCCUGAAGGAACGUUGAAGACGACGACGUUGAUAGGCCGGGUGUGUAAGCGCAGCGAUGCGUUGAGCUAACCGGUACUAAUGAACCGUGAGGCUUAACCUU